Molecule: long non-coding RNA, 660 nt
Filed under: Brachypodium distachyon (stiff brome)
Lineage: Eukaryota; Viridiplantae; Streptophyta; Magnoliopsida; Poales; Poaceae
Description: long non-coding RNA (BDIS_LNC004808)
Source: RNAcentral
GCCGUCACUGCCCCUGCCCAGGUAAGGGUUAGGGUUCAAUUUUUUCUAUUAAAUGGGUUCAAUUUUAUGAAUUUGCUAUUGUUUAGUGACAAAUUAUGGUUCAGUUUGAAGAAUUUGGUAUUAAAUUGGUUCAAUUAGAUCAAUUUGCUAAUGUUUAGUGGUAAAAUAUGGUUCAAUUUGAUCAAAUUGCUGCUGCUUAGUGUCAAAGUAUGGUUUAAUUUGAUUCAUUUGCUGCUAGUUAUGGAUUUGUUUGAUGAAAUAUGAUUGAAUUUGAUCCCGACCAUCCGGUUGAUAUGAGGAAUGUGGGCCCGGCCAUCAUGCCGAGUCGUUGAGAAGGGUCCGGCCAUCAUGCCGAGGGGGUAUAUGUGUGUGGGAGUUUUUUUUAUGCAGGUAUAAAAUUCGGGUAAACUCAUUUGUUGUUUUACAGCAAUAUUCAUGCCGAAAUUUUCUUGUUUUACAGCAUAGGUCAUGCCGAAUUUUUCUGUUUUUUUAAUUGCUUUUAUAAGUGUUGGAUAGGAACCUCAGGCUCGCGUUGAAGAGGUGCCUGAGCAGCCACCGGUUGUGGAGGGAGAAGUCGAAGAAGAAGCGGGGGCACCUUCCUCGGGCUCGGAAAUUGCCAUGAGCGAAGGAGCCGAGGAGCAGCUGUUCCUUGAAGGAGCC